Hemicordylus capensis (graceful crag lizard) is the source of this 2749-nucleotide long non-coding RNA. RefSeq lists it as uncharacterized. The transcript is spliced from 2 exons. Lineage: Eukaryota; Metazoa; Chordata; Lepidosauria; Squamata; Cordylidae. The record is from RefSeq and is a predicted model, not a curated record.
AUCAGCAUCAGCUGCAGCGACCGGGACUGGCUGGCUCUCCCUGCUCCAAGGCGCUAGCACGCCCGUCAGUUACUCCCGCAGCAGAGCAGGUUAUUUUUAGCAGCCCACCCUUCUGCACCGGCUCCUCUUAAAGGCGGCGAUGCAUCCCUGCCGGUCCUAAGAGGAUGCCAGGCGCGCGCGGCUGAGGCGUGCAUGCGUACAUGCAGAUAUAAGGUUCCCCGCCAUCGCCGCUUGUUGGAAAGCCAGCCGAGACAAAGGUAGACAGGGCUGGGAAACCAGGGCGAGGGCGUGUAGUGAACCGGAGGGACACAGCGGAGACUUCUUUCCUGUAGUCCGCCUUGUCUGCUCUCAAAGCUCGAAUGUGCCUGCAGAUGGACUAUCGAUUUGAUCAUCAUCAUCAUCGCAUGAUCGCAAUGACUUCAAUAGGAUUGGGCACGCUGAGGCCAAGUACCUGCCUUUUGUCUCUGCAACUGCAACGCCUUUCCGCCUUUCCUUUCCUAGGGCCGUUUCACGCCUUGCAAAACCAGGCCUGUGCAAACACGUAUAUCACGAAACUGCACUCCAUGCACAUCGUUGGAUUUUUCUACCCUGGUGGCAACCCUUAAAAAGAAAAGAAGCAGGGAUGCUGUGCUGCAUCCUGAGAGCGCACGUGCAAGCCUUGACCCUAUGCGGAGCCUCAGAUGCUCAGAAGCCCACCUUGCCCACUGUCCACGCUCACAAUGUUUGUCUGAAGAGAGAAGCGGCGUGACCGCUGGAAGAUUUCCCCGAAUGGAAGACAGGCUUUUUUUCCCCACGGAAGAGGGCUCUUGACUAUGAAGCAACAAUGCAGAGGGAGAAGUCAUUGGAGGGGAGGGGAGGAAAGAGUGACAGGGCAGCUCAAUGCAUUACUGAGCAAUCCAUCCACCAAUGAAGGCUUCAGAAGGCCUGCCCUGCCUGCAGGAGGAGCAACUCUUUUCUGCUUGAGGAAGCUGGCCUUGAGAAUCUGCGUUCAGCCCCGCAGCGCCCAUUUUAAAAAAAUACAUUCAAUGUACGCAUUGCUAGAAUUCUUUGCAUGCUGCUGAAUUUAUUUCUCCUGAUUGGUGCUCUCCUUUUUUUAGCUGUAAUAAAUUUGUGUGAAUUCAGGUAACAAACAGGGCUUUAAAAAAACAAAAACACCUAUGCAAUCAGUCACAAAAUGUGUACUGGCUGCCAAGAAAAUAUGUGCAGUUCCAAAGAAAGGAACUUUGGUCAAUACAAACAUUAAACUAAUUUAAAAAGUUGUAUUAUGUUAGCUGAUGUGAAAAACACACACAACCCUGCUAACAAUAUGAAAGUAAACAAACCCUGCUAACAAUAUGAAAGUAAACAAACCCUGCUAACAAUAUGAAAGUAAAAUGAGUAGUCCAGACUCCUAUAGAACCCCAGAUUCUGACAUUACAAGCAAUCAUUCUCAUAAUGGAAUAUCUGAAGCCAAAUUGUAGUAGAUCAUGCUUAAAGGUGCUUAUACAAAUUUAUUUGUCUUGUCUAUAUAGCUAUCAUUGUCCAGACUUUAUACAAUGAAUUCUCUGGGGGAAAGAUUCUCAGAACAUCAGCAGAGUUCCUUUCUAAUAAUCAGAAUGCCUAGGUUGACGAGACAAACCCCGUUCCACAAGAUUAGAAAGAGAAGUCCUGGUGCCCUCCUGAAUGAACAGCCCCCCUCAUGAUAAAGGCGUGCACCAGGAGAGCAUCGGCAUGUAUGCAGAGGGCAUUCUGACUGUUGCACUCUCAGCUCCAUGAUCGUGGACAGACCUGUGAUUGCAAGGAUGAAUUGCUUCACCCUCACAUUUCCAGGUCCACCUACCAUCACUGAGGGGGCUUUUCCUGCUUCAAGCAAGCCCCGUCAGACCCAUGAGCAAUGGGGCGUGGAGAUUGGUGCAGCAGGGUGGGACUUCCUCUCCCUUCACCCCACUGCUCAUGGCUACAGUGAGCCUUCAGACUAAUGUCUGAAGGAGCCUAUACUUAGAACAGAAACAGGGUUGUCUGAGACAAAUAAAAGAUUUUUUAUUCAAUAAUUCUGCUUCUGACUAUCCUAGUCUAGGCACCUCGGUUAAAUUUCUAGAUACCAUGGCUCCCUGGUGCCUGAGAUUUGUCAAACCCUGGACUAGAAUGUAUAUUUAAUUUACUUUUCUGACAAGAAUUAACUUGUAUCUUCUGUUUUCUAAUCCUGCAUUAACAACAUUCUUGCAUGUCCACAAAUAGCUCACAAGUGACUCCAAGGUGUUGUUAGUGUCAUGAAUGGAAAAAUGUCCUUUGCCUCUAGGGAUGAAGAACAGUGUUAUUAUUCAAACCAGAAUACUGAAGAGGCCUCUGUGAUAUGAAGGUUUAAAGAGAUUGCAUACAAAUGGGGAGAAAGAGCCAAAGUACACCUUCAGAUAUCUCAUAUGAUCACACAUUUGACUGCAUCCAGCAUAAAACUGUACAUUAAGAAAGGUAGCAUAUCCAGAAGGCUAGGUAUGAUCGCACAAGAAUCAAUAACUUAGUGGAAGCUAACUAAAUCAGUGUCUGUUCAAUUCCUGGAUGGAAGACUGCCUUUGAACCUGUGUUCAAAAGAAACCAUUCUGAGUUCCAAGAGCGGGAGUGGAAUAUACAUGUAAUACAAACCCUUCUCUCUGAAAUGCUUGAAUUCUCUUUUUUUGCUACUACUCUGACAACAAAUAUUUAUAUACCACUCUUCAACCAAGUUCGCAGAGCGGUUUAUUGGAAAAAUAAACACAUUCUCUGGAAGAACGUA